Hemicordylus capensis (graceful crag lizard) is the source of this 1315-nucleotide long non-coding RNA. RefSeq lists it as uncharacterized. The transcript is spliced from 4 exons. The record is from RefSeq and is a predicted model, not a curated record. Lineage: Eukaryota; Metazoa; Chordata; Lepidosauria; Squamata; Cordylidae.
UUCUGCUGAGCCAGGGCCAGCCCUUUACAGAGGGCUGGUGAAGGCGUUGCCUUCAGUGGCAGAUUAUGCGGGCUGGCAAGCAUGCUGCUGGUGCCACCUGAGUCACACCAAUUGCCAGACCACACUGCCACACUUUACGGGGGCAGCCAGGGGCCCAUGCUUGCCCUGUGCUGUCGGCCACUCUGGGUGGUAUCAUCAUGUCCUUCGGCUUCCUCCCACUCGUUUGUUCCUCCCUUGCUGUGCUGCCUCCUGGUGUGGCAUCAUGUCCUCCAGAUGAGCUCUCUCCCAUUUGCUCACACACACACACACACACACACACACACCAGGCUUGUUCAUGGCCACCAUACCUCCUGCACAUCAUGUACCGCAGUGGGCCCAAACUGCCAUUGCCUGGGCUUGGGGUUGCAGAUCAUGAUGCCCAGCAAAUGAAGGUCCAGUUUGCCCCCACACACAUCCACACUGCUGCUGCUGCUGCAGACUGAACGUGCUGUGCAAGGUUCAAACUGAGCUGAGUGAGCGAGCUGCGUACUCAUUCAUUGUGUAUGGAAAUAUGAUGGGUUAGCACUGCAAGGAGCUUCCCGCUGUGACCAACCAGGCCGAACCUCAGCCAAGCCAACUGUCAUGCACACAACUUAUUUCCUGUUUGGGGUCCAGGCCCUUGAGAAACAAAGUCUGCCUAGUGGAUGGGAAGUAGAAGAAACUUUCACUGUCAGCAACUGAAUUUCCAAUUAAGUGUGAGCUGAGCAUUUGCUUCGCUGAGGGCUUUGACAGGAGAGCAGCACUAGAACAAAGGGAAGUUCCAGAAAUGAAACCACGUUCUACUUGAUGGGGCGGGGACGACGAUGACACAAAAGGGGUUUUUUUUAAGAGUUGCAUGUGCUAAGUUUGUACUUUGGUUGGAGAAGCAAAAAAAGUUCUGCUUGAUGGAAAAAACAAACAUCGUUUUUUGAAGAGCUGUUUAUGGUGUGUCCAAACAAGCAGCAAAAACUGUAGCAUGAAGGAAAAGGCAAACUCUGGUGAGUUUCAUGCCUAUCCAUCAGAUUUUGCCCCAAGAUCUUCUCUUUCUUUAGAUAACACAUCCUCAUAGCACUCAGUCAGCUUCCUAUAAUUAACAGCAACCAACUGCAAGGAAACAAUGGUCCAGUUUGUGGAGCAAAAUAGUUUCAGAUGUAUUUUCUCCUCUCCCUGUUGAAAGUGUUCAAAUGCGGCAAGACAUUUGGAUGACGUUAUCACAAAGAUUAUUUUUAUUUGUAAUCCACCCAGAGAUUUUAUAUGGGAUGGAUAGAAAUGCAAUAAAGUUUGAUAGAUAGAUAGA